Molecule: ribosomal RNA, 254 nt
Filed under: uncultured archaeon
Lineage: Archaea
Description: partial 16S ribosomal RNA
Rfam family: Archaeal small subunit ribosomal RNA
Source: RNAcentral
UCCUCGCGGUCCAAGUCGCAGCCAUCAUUAUUGGGUCUAAAACAUCCGUAGCUUGCUUUGUAAGUCUCUUGUGAAAUCUGGCAUCUCAAGUGUCAGGCGGGCAAGAGAUACUACUUAGCUAGAGACUGGGAGACGUAAUGAGUAUGAUUGAGGUAGCGGUAAAAUGCGUUAAUCUCAGUCAGACUAACAACAGCGAAGGCACGUUACGAGCACGGUUCUGACAGUGAGGGAUGAAGGCUAGGGGCGCAAAUUGG